GACGAACGCUGGCGGCGUGCCUAAUACAUGCAAGUCGAACGCUUCUUUCCUCCCGAGUGCUUGCACUCAAUUGGAAAGAGGAGUGGCGGACGGGUGAGUAACACGUGGGUAACCUAACCAUCAGAGGGGGAUAACACUUGGAAACAGGUGCUAAUACCGCAUAACAGUUUAUGCCGCAUGGCAUAAGAGUGAAGGGCGCUUUCAGGUGUCGCUGAUGGAUGGACCCGCGAUGCAUUAGCUAGUUGGUGAGGUAACGGCUCACCAAGGCCACGAUGCAUAGCCGACCUGAGAGGGUGAUCGGCCACACUGGGACUGAGACACGGCCCAGACUCCUACGGGAGGCAGCAGUAGGGAAUCUUCGGCAAUGGACGAAAGUCUGACCGAGCAACGCCGCGUGAGUGAAGAAGGUUUUCGGAUCGUAAAACUCUGUUGUUAGAGAAGAACAAGGACGUUAGUAACUGAACGUCCCCUGACGGUAUCUAACCAGAAAGCCACGGCUAACUACGUG
RNAcentral lists this ribosomal RNA (508 nucleotides) under uncultured bacterium. Its description in RNAcentral is "partial 16S ribosomal RNA". It matches the Rfam family "Bacterial small subunit ribosomal RNA", at positions 28 to 507 of the family's 1533-position model. The record is from RNAcentral.